GACGAACGCUGGCGGCGUGCUUAACACAUGCAAGUCGAACGGAAAGGCCCUGCUUUUGUGGGGUGCUCGAGUGGCGAACGGGUGAGUAACACGUGAAUAACCUGCCCUUGACUUUGGGAUAACUUCAGGAAACUGGGGCUAAUACCGGAUAGGAGCUCCUGCUGCAUGGUGGGGGUUGGAAAGUUUCGGCGGUUGGGGAUGGACUCGCGGCUUAUCAGCUUGUUGGUGGGGUAGUGGCUUACCAAGGCUUUGACGGGUAGCCGGCCUGAGAGGGUGACCGGCCACAUUGGGACUGAGAUACGGCCCAGACUCCUACGGGAGGCAGCAGUGGGGAAUAUUGCACAAUGGGCGGAAGCCUGAUGCAGCAACGCCGCGUGCGGGAUGACGGCCUUCGGGUUGUAAACCGCUUUCGCCUGUGACGAAGCGUGAGUGACGGUAAUGGGUAAAGAAGCACCGGCUAACUACGU
RNAcentral lists this ribosomal RNA (467 nucleotides) under uncultured bacterium. RNAcentral describes it as "partial 16S ribosomal RNA". It matches the Rfam family "Bacterial small subunit ribosomal RNA", at positions 28 to 506 of the family's 1533-position model. The record is from RNAcentral.